AGUGAACGCUGGCGGUAGGCCUAACACAUGCAAGUCGAACGGCAGCACAGUAAGAGCUUGCUCUUACGGGUGGCGAGUGGCGGACGGGUGAGGAAUACAUCGGAAUCUACUCUUUCGUGGGGGAUAACGUAGGGAAACUUACGCUAAUACCGCAUACGACCUACGGGUGAAAGCAGGGGAUCUUCGGACCUUGCGCGAUUGAAUGAGCCGAUGUCGGAUUAGCUAGUUGGCGGGGUAAAGGCCCACCAAGGCGACGAUCCGUAGCUGGUCUGAGAGGAUGAUCAGCCACACUGGAACUGAGACAGGGUCCAGACUCCUACGGGAGGCAGCAGUGGGGAAUAUUGGACAAUGGGCGCAAGCCUGAUCCAGCCAUACCGCGUGGGUGAAGAAGGCCUUCGGGUUGUAAAGCCCUUUUGUUGGGAAAGAAAAGCAGCAGGUUAAUACGCCGCUGUUCUGGCGGUACCCAAAGAAUAAGCACCGGCUAACUUCGUG
RNAcentral lists this ribosomal RNA (492 nucleotides) under uncultured bacterium. Its description in RNAcentral is "partial 16S ribosomal RNA". It matches the Rfam family "Bacterial small subunit ribosomal RNA", at positions 29 to 507 of the family's 1533-position model. The record is from RNAcentral.